Molecule: ribosomal RNA, 497 nt
Filed under: uncultured bacterium
Lineage: Bacteria
Description: partial 16S ribosomal RNA
Rfam family: Bacterial small subunit ribosomal RNA
Source: RNAcentral
GAUGAACGCUGGCGGCGUGCCUAAUACAUGCAAGUCGAGCGAACAGACGAGGAGCUUGCUCCUCUGACGUUAGCGGCGGACGGGUGAGUAACACGUGGAUAACCUACCUAUAAGACUGGGAUAACUUCGGGAAACCGGAGCUAAUACCGGAUAAUAUAUUGAACCGCAUGAUUCAAUAGUGAAAGACGGUUUUGCUGUCACUUAUAGAUGGAUCCGCGCCGCAUUAGCUAGUUGGUAAGGUAACGGCUUACCAAGGCGACGAUGCGUAGCCGACCUGAGAGGGUGAUCGGCCACACUGGAACUGAGACACGGUCCAGACUCCUACGGGAGGCAGCAGUAGGGAAUCUUCCGCAAUGGGCGAAAGCCUGACGGAGCAACGCCGCGUGAGUGAUGAAGGUCUUCGGAUCGUAAAACUCUGUUAUUAGGGAAGAACAAAUGUGUAAGUAACUAUGCACGUCUUGACGGUACCUAAUCAGAAAGCCACGGCUAACUACGUG